UUUCAUAAUACUGUUCUAAAUGUGUUUUUGUUUUCAGUUAUUUUUCCUCCUCUAGCCAGUUAAUCCAUACUUUAUAUCAGUAAGAUAAGAUAAAUUUUAUGGCAACAAUCUACUCAAGCAGUGGGGCUUUUCUAUCAUUUUUUUGUUUAAUGAGCUUCAAUUAAAUUUUUUCAGGGAUUUCUAGAUGUUUCCCAAGUUACCAACGUGUGCCAGGUAUGGAUUCUGUGGUGGAGGUACAUUCUUGAGCUAUAACCUAGUGAAAAAAACACAAGGUCUGGCAUAUGAAUCCUUUUCUUACCUUAGACUCCUUCUAUUGAGGAUUGUACCCUCCUCUGUAAAUUUCCUAACAUGUGUUAAGUGUGGAUCAUAUCCUGGAAUUACGUUCUUUGGAAGAGCCUAUUGAGAAAGUAGACAAGGAAACUGGUGUUUUAUAGCAGGUAAGUUUAGUGGUAAUUUGUUAGACAAUAAUAGUAACUAGAAUAUC
Molecule: long non-coding RNA, 484 nt
Filed under: Bos indicus x Bos taurus (hybrid cattle)
Lineage: Eukaryota; Metazoa; Chordata; Mammalia; Artiodactyla; Bovidae
Description: lncRNA (ENSBIXG00005003686.1)
Source: RNAcentral